RNAcentral lists this long non-coding RNA (219 nucleotides) under Volvox carteri. RNAcentral describes it as "long non-coding RNA (VCAR_LNC003743)". Lineage: Eukaryota; Viridiplantae; Chlorophyta; Chlorophyceae; Chlamydomonadales; Volvocaceae. The record is from RNAcentral.
CGGGGCCGAAGCCGAAACACAGCGCAAGGGUCGGGAGCACACAGCACAAGUCGGUUAGUCUUGUGUGCUCCCGACCCCGACUCAGACUGCCAACACUCUACGCAGCCACUCCGCAGCCCCUCCAUCCGGGGAUGGCGCUGCAUUGAAUACACCACGAAGGGCUCUCAGGUCCCGCUAGAGCGGGUCCACAAGUCUCAGCUAGGGCAAAGACAAAGGCUC